GUGCCAGCCACCGCGGUAAUACCGGCAGCCCGAGUGAUGGCCGAUCUUAUUGGGCCUAAAGCGUCCGUAGCUGGCCGCGCAAGUCCAUCGGAAAAUCCACCCGCCCAACGGGUGGGCGACCGGCGGAAACUGUUCGGCUUGGGGCCGGAGGACCCGAGGGGUACGUCCGGGGUAGGAGUGAAAUCCUGUAAUCCUGGACGGACCACCGAUGGCGAAAGCACUUCGAGAAAACGGAUCCGACAGUGAGGGACGAAAGCCAGGGUCUCCAACCGGAUUAGAAACCCCAGUAGUCC
RNAcentral lists this ribosomal RNA (293 nucleotides) under uncultured bacterium. Its description in RNAcentral is "partial 16S ribosomal RNA". It matches the Rfam family "Archaeal small subunit ribosomal RNA", at positions 455 to 747 of the family's 1478-position model. The record is from RNAcentral.